GUCCACGCCGUAAACGAUGCAUACUAGGUGUUGGCCCUUUGGGGCCAGUGCUGCAGUUAACGCAUUAAGUAUGCCACCUGGGGAGUACGUCGGCAACGAUGAAACUCAAAGGAAUUGACGGGGGCCCGCACAAGCGGUGGAGCAUGUGGCUUAAUUCGAUGCAACGCGAGGAACCUUACCUGGGCUAAAUCCACAGUGCUACUUCUGGAAACAGAAGGUCCCUUCGGGGCGCUAUGGAAGGUG
RNAcentral lists this ribosomal RNA (243 nucleotides) under uncultured bacterium. RNAcentral describes it as "partial 16S ribosomal RNA". It matches the Rfam family "Bacterial small subunit ribosomal RNA", at positions 793 to 1040 of the family's 1533-position model. The record is from RNAcentral.